GAAUAUUGGACAAUGGGCGCAAGCCUGAUCCAGCCAUGCCGCGUGAGUGAUGAAGGCCCUAGGGUUGUAAAGCUCUUUCAGUGGUGAAGAUAAUGACGGUACCCGCAGAAAAAGCCCCGGCUAACUUCGUGCCAGCAGCCGCGGUAAUACGAAGGGGGCUAGCGUUGCUCGGAAUCACUGGGCGUAAAGCGCACGUAGGCGGCUUCUUAAGUCAGGGGUGAAAUCCUGGAGCUCAACUCCAGAACUGCCUUUGAUACUGAGAAGCUCGAGUCCGGGAGAGGUGAGUGGAACUGCGAGUGUAGAGGUGAAAUUCGUAGAUAUUCGCAAGAACACCAGUGGCGAAGGCGGCUCACUGGCCCGGUACUGACGCUGAGGUGCGAAAGCGUGGGGAGCAAACAGG
This 400-nucleotide ribosomal RNA is filed under the name uncultured bacterium. Its description in RNAcentral is "bacterial SSU rRNA". It matches the Rfam family "Bacterial small subunit ribosomal RNA", at positions 359 to 776 of the family's 1533-position model. The record is from RNAcentral.